RNAcentral lists this ribosomal RNA (1013 nucleotides) under Pseudomonas sp. RNAcentral describes it as "bacterial SSU rRNA". It matches the Rfam family "Bacterial small subunit ribosomal RNA", at positions 56 to 1061 of the family's 1533-position model. The record is from RNAcentral. Lineage: Bacteria; Pseudomonadati; Pseudomonadota; Gammaproteobacteria; Pseudomonadales; Pseudomonadaceae.
UGCAGUCGAGCGGAUGAAGGAGCUUGCUCCUGGAUUCAGCGGCGGACGGGUGAGUAAUGCCUAGGAAUCUGCCUGGUAGUGGGGGACAACGUUUCGAAAGGAACGCUAAUACCGCAUACGUCCUACGGGAGAAAGCAGGGGACCUUCGGGCCUUGCGCUAUCAGAUGAGCCUAGGUCGGAUUAGCUAGUUGGUGAGGUAAUGGCUCACCAAGGCGACGAUCCGUAACUGGUCUGAGAGGAUGAUCAGUCACACUGGAACUGAGACACGGUCCAGACUCCUACGGGAGGCAGCAGUGGGGAAUAUUGGACAAUGGGCGAAAGCCUGAUCCAGCCAUGCCGCGUGUGUGAAGAAGGUCUUCGGAUUGUAAAGCACUUUAAGUUGGGAGGAAGGGUUGUAGAUUAAUACUCUGCAAUUUUGACGUUACCGACAGAAUAAGCACCGGCUAACUCUGUGCCAGCAGCCGCGGUAAUACAGAGGGUGCAAGCGUUAAUCGGAAUUACUGGGCGUAAAGCGCGCGUAGGUGGUUUGUUAAGUUGGAUGUGAAAUCCCCGGGCUCAACCUGGGAACUGCAUCCAAAACUGGCAAGCUAGAGUAUGGUAGAGGGUGGUGGAAUUUCCUGUGUAGCGGUGAAAUGCGUAGAUAUAGGAAGGAACACCAGUGGCGAAGGCGACCACCUGGACUGAUACUGACACUGAGGUGCGAAAGCGUGGGGAGCAAACAGGAUUAGAUACCCUGGUAGUCCACGCCGUAACGAUGUCAACUAGCCGUUGGGAGCCUUGAGCUCUUAGUGGCGCAGCUAACGCAUUAAGUUGACCGCCUGGGGAGUACGGGCCGCAAGGUUAAAACUCAAAUGAAUUGACGGGGGCCCGCACAAGCGGUGGAGCAUGUGGUUUAAUUUCGAAGCAACGCGAAGAACCUUACCAGGCCUUGACAUCCAAUGAACUUUCCAGAGAUGGAUUGGGUGCCGUUCGGGAAACAUUGAGACAGGUGCUGCAUGGCUGUCGAUCAGCUC